Molecule: small RNA, 769 nt
Filed under: Pan troglodytes (chimpanzee)
Lineage: Eukaryota; Metazoa; Chordata; Mammalia; Primates; Hominidae
Description: processed transcript
Source: RNAcentral
CCUCGGGCAGCGUCAGCAUCGAGGAGAUCGACCUGGAGGGCAAGUUUGUGCAGCUCAAGAACAACUCGGACAAGGAUCAGUCUCUGGGGAACUGGAGAAUCAAGAGGCAGGUCUUGGAGGGGGAGGAGAUGGCCUACAAGUUCACGCCCAAGUACAUCCUGCGCGCCGGCCAGAUGGUCACGGUGUGGGCAGCUGGUGCGGGGGUGGCCCACAGUCCCCCCUCGACGCUGGUGUGGAAGGGCCAGAGCAGUUGGGGCACGGGCGAGAGCUUCCGCACCGUCCUGGUUAACGCGGAUGGCGAGGAAGUGGCCAUGAGGACCGUGAAGAAGUCCUCGGUGAUGCGUGAGAAUGAGAAUGGGGAGGAGGAGGAGGAGGAAGCCGAGUUUGGCGAGGAGGAUCUUUUCCACCAACAGUGAGCCUCCGACGCUGUUGCACAAGCUGACUCUUCGUCACGUGAUGCGACCGGGCUCCGCCCCGGCGGCAGCACGCUGUAUAGACGCGCCGGGUGCUUCGUGCGCAUGCGCGGCAGGCCCUUCGGGAAGAGCUGGAGGCAGAGCGUGAGUACAAAGUGAUCGGCCUCGGCCGCACGCAGUAGCCCCCCUACUCCCCGGCCAAGUCAGGGCCGCCCUCUUCCCGCGGAGUCGCAACCACGGGUAGCUCGUGUAGGUAACGGCAGGUCCAGGCCUCCGCAUAAGCGGAGGGCCCCCCGCGCGACCUUGAAUGGCCCGGGCGCGCGCGGUCGUGUGGGAGUUGUAGUCCUCCGUCCCCG